UUGAAGUUUGAUCUUUCACAUUCCCUCACCUGCCCUUCAAUUCAAUGCGGCGACUCAAUCGUCUGCCUUUAAUUAGUCGCCUCAAUCCACCUCUUCUUAUUCAUAAACACCGCUUCUUCCUGUCAUUAUGCCGAUUCGGAUUUUCAAUUCCGCGUGAAGGAGACGGCAAUCGAUUCAUUCAAAUCCUCAGUUUCUCUUCGGUAACAAAAAUUCAACAAACAAUCGGCAAUCGUCGGUGUGCUUCUCGGUAGCUCGUUCAAAGGAACCGUUGAUGUCACUAAUAGUUACGCAGUUCUACAGGGAAAUGGAAUUUGCUUCAAAUGCCAAAAAAAACACUGGCUUUGUUCCCAUGGUUCAAUGGCCUCUUUUUCUUCUAGCCAGCAAGAUAUUCGUUGAUGCAACAUUUGGCGGCAGAGAGUGACUCACGAAUACAAAUGUGGGAAAGGAUUUCGAGAGACGAUUACAUGAAAUAUGCAGUUGAAGAGUGUUUUACACCAUCAAGCUGAUUUUGACCUCAAUUUUUGACAAUGAUGGCAAAGAGUGGGUUAAUAGAAUAUAUGAUGAAAUUCGAGGAAGUAUUGAAAGGAGCAACUGUCUCUUGUUACUCAGAAAGUUACUGCACUAACAGGAAUUUUGAAAGAAGUUGGGACACCUGAACUGGAGACUGGUUGGGAAAAUGAUGAUUUAUGCAUUAGACCACGUUGUAUCGGAAUUGUCGGGAUUUAUAGAUUCAAAUGGGCCCGCUGAUGAUCUUCAAAAUCAAUUCGCACGGGAGCUCGACAUCUUUUGGUGAUUUUCC
This 799-nucleotide long non-coding RNA is filed under the name Helianthus annuus (common sunflower). The record is from RNAcentral. Lineage: Eukaryota; Viridiplantae; Streptophyta; Magnoliopsida; Asterales; Asteraceae.